RNAcentral lists this long non-coding RNA (253 nucleotides) under Setaria italica (foxtail millet). Its description in RNAcentral is "long non-coding RNA (SITA_LNC000853)". Lineage: Eukaryota; Viridiplantae; Streptophyta; Magnoliopsida; Poales; Poaceae. The record is from RNAcentral.
AAGAAAAGGAAAAGAAGAAAAAGGAGAUGAAGUAAAAAGAAAAAAGGAUUGGAGUAAAAAGAGAAAAAUAGAAUUAAAUUGUGUGAAGAGUUAAAGAGAGAGAAAUGGCGGGGAUUGCGGAAGCGGUUGCGGGCACGAGCGCGGCAGUCUUCCGACCGGCACGCGGCAUGAUGCGUAGAGAGGAAAAGGAAAAGAAUGGACGGUGGUCGGCUUUAAUGCUGGGACGGUGGAAUUGCCGGGAAGACGGGAUUUG